RNAcentral lists this transfer RNA (65 nucleotides) under Anaerolineaceae bacterium. RNAcentral describes it as "tRNA-Met". The record is from RNAcentral. Lineage: Bacteria; Bacillati; Chloroflexota; Anaerolineae; Anaerolineales; Anaerolineaceae.
GGUAAUGAAUUGAAAUUUUUUGGCUCAUAACCGGUGGGUCGUAGGUUCGAAUCCUACCGGGCCCA